This 448-nucleotide ribosomal RNA is filed under the name uncultured bacterium. RNAcentral's name for it is "bacterial SSU rRNA". It matches the Rfam family "Bacterial small subunit ribosomal RNA", at positions 29 to 460 of the family's 1533-position model. The record is from RNAcentral.
AACGAACGCUGGCGGCGUGCCUAACACAUGCAAGUCGAACGAGAAAGGGGCUUCGGCUCCGAGUAAAGUGGCGCACGGGUGAGUAACACGUAGGUAACCUACCUCUAAGAUUGGGAUAACCUGUCGAAAGACGAGCUAAUACCGAAUAAGACCACAGCUUCCUUGGAAGCAGGGGUCAAAGGUAGCCUUUACUUGUAAGCUAUCACUUAGAGAUGGACCUGCGUACCAUUAGCUAGUUGGNGAGGUAACGGCUCACCAAGGCAAAGAUGGUUAGCUGGUCUGAGAGGAUGAUCAGCCACACUGGAACUGAGACACGGUCCAGACUCCUACGGGAGGCAGCAGUGGGGAAUAUUGCGCAAUGGGCGAAAGCCUGACGCAGCAACGCCGCGUGAGUGAUGAAGGCCCUCGGGUCGCAAAGCUCUGUCGGAGGGAACGAAUGCUCUCGAGG